Lolium rigidum is the source of this 107-nucleotide small nucleolar RNA. RefSeq annotates it as small nucleolar RNA Z118/Z121/Z120. NCBI's taxonomy places the organism in Eukaryota, Viridiplantae, Streptophyta, Magnoliopsida, Poales, Poaceae. The transcript has a single exon. The record is from RefSeq and is a predicted model, not a curated record.
GCUUGUUUGUGAUGAACAAGUCAUCUGUAUCUGAGAAAGACGGCCCUUGAAUAAGUGCUUCUUCCUUGAUUGUGCAUCCAAAACUGAUCUAAUAUUCUGAGAAAGAC